Frieseomelitta varia is the source of this 152-nucleotide long non-coding RNA. RefSeq lists it as uncharacterized. The transcript is spliced from 4 exons. Lineage: Eukaryota; Metazoa; Arthropoda; Insecta; Hymenoptera; Apidae. The record is from RefSeq and is a predicted model, not a curated record.
GAUGUAUUAUCAAUAGGUGCUGUAUUUUCAAUUACUGCAAGAUUUAUUCAUUGAUUUCCUUUAUUUUUAGAAUUAUUAAUAAAUCAAAAAUGAUUAAAAUUUCAAUUUUUUUUUUUUUUUAUUCGUCCUAAAUUUGACAUUUUUUGCACAAC